Molecule: transfer RNA, 62 nt
Filed under: Hyalella tiwanaku
Lineage: Eukaryota; Metazoa; Arthropoda; Malacostraca; Amphipoda; Hyalellidae
Description: tRNA-Pro
Source: RNAcentral
CAAAAAAUAGUUUAUGUAAAACAAUAGACUUGGGUUCUAUAAAAAAUUGUUAUUUUUUUUGA